GUGCUCGCUUCGGCAGCACAUAUACUAAAAUUGGAACGAUACAGAGAAGAUUGGCGUGGCCCCUGCACAAGGGUGACACGCAAAUUCGUGAAGCGUUUCAUAUUUUA
Myotis lucifugus (little brown bat) is the source of this 107-nucleotide small nuclear RNA. The record is from Ensembl. NCBI's taxonomy places the organism in Eukaryota, Metazoa, Chordata, Mammalia, Chiroptera, Vespertilionidae.